AGAAAAUGGAAAUAGGGAAUAUAGAUUGAUAUUUAAAUAAUAAUAACUUCAUUAAGCACAUAAAAACUCAAUAUUUUAAAGAAGUUUACAAUUUUAUGUUGGACCACAUUCAGUAUAACAGUGGGCUGCAUGUGGGCCGCAGGUUGGACAGCCCUAUAUUAAAGUCUUCAUUUGAACUUAAUUGUUAUAAUACAGUGUCUCUUAUCAUAUGGUAUUUUUACAUAUUAACCAGUCAUUCUAUUCUGAUCAGAUUAUACUUUUUAAAUGCUUAUGAUGUAAUUAAAGUAAUUAUUACAUAUUAUCAACAAAAUUUAAAACUUAAUAGUUUUAUAAAUUUAUUGAACUAUAUUG
RNAcentral lists this long non-coding RNA (351 nucleotides) under Androctonus crassicauda. The record is from RNAcentral. Lineage: Eukaryota; Metazoa; Arthropoda; Arachnida; Scorpiones; Buthidae.